AACGAACGCUGGCGGCAGGCUUAACACAUGCAAGUCGAACGGGCGUAGCAAUACGUCAGUGGCGGACGGGUGAGUAACACGUGGGAAUAUGCCUUUCGGUUCGGAACAACUCGGGGAAACCCGUGCUAAUUCCGGAUACGCCCUUACGGGGAAAGAUUUAUCGCCGAAAGAUUAGCCCGCGUUGGAUUAGCUAGUUGGUGAGGUAAAGGCUCACCAAGGCGACGAUCCAUAGCUGGUUUGAGAGAACGACCAGCCACACUGGGACUGAGACACGGCCCAGACUCCUACGGGAGGCAGCAGUGGGGAAGUCUUGCGCAAUGGGCGGAAAGCCUGACGCAGCGACGCCGCGUGAGGGAUGACGGCCU
Molecule: ribosomal RNA, 365 nt
Filed under: uncultured bacterium
Lineage: Bacteria
Description: bacterial SSU rRNA
Rfam family: Bacterial small subunit ribosomal RNA
Source: RNAcentral